CUCCACCAUACUACUACUCCUCACCACCACCACCAAAGAAAUCACCUCCUCCACCGUAUCACUACACUUCUCCACCACCACCAGUUAAGUCACCACCUCCUCCGUACUACUACUCCUCACCACCACCGCCAAAGAAAUCACCUCCUCCACCAUAUCACUACAGUUCCCCACCACCACCAGUUAAGUCACCUCCAACUCCGUACUACUACAAGUCUCCACCACCACCACCAAAGAAGUCUUCUCCCGCACCAUACUACUAUACUUCACCACCACCACCAACUCAUUACUAUCCUCCACAUCAUCAAUUUGUAGUCAAAGUUGUCGGAAAAGUCUAUUGUUUCAGAUGUUAUGAUUGGAAGCACACAGAGAUGUCUCACGGCAAGAAACACCUGAAAGGUACCUUAGUCUUUAUAGUUUAUACUACACUCAUAUAUUUUUAUUUUCUUUUAAGGUUAUCAUCAAAAAUUUAUUUAACUGUACAUAAUUUGUUGCUUUGUUCAUUAUGCUUUGACAGAAUUUAUAUAUAAAUUGUUUUUGUGUUAAUGUUUCUUUUUACAUGUAUUAGGUGUUGUUGUUGAAGUGACUUGCAAGGCCGGUGACAAAGAAAUUGUGAGUUAUGGUACCACUAAGAACAAUGGCAAAUUUAGCAUCACGGUUAAAGGAUUUGAAUACCGCAAAUAUGGAGCAAAGGCUUGCAAGGCUAAACUCCACUAUGCUCCUAAGGGUUCAAAGUGUAGCAUUCCUACAAACCUUCAUUGGGGAAUUAAGGGUGCUAACCUCAAAGUGAAGUCAAAGAAUAAAUAUGAAGUUGUUCUCUAUGCAAAACCAUUUGCUUAUGGUUCUAAGACACCUUAUGCCGAAUGCAAAAAGCCCAAGCCUACACCUGCUCCAUACUAUUAUAAAUCUCCUCCACCUCCAACACCGACUUAUGUUUAUAAGUCACCACCCCCUCCAUCUCCAAAAUAUGUUUACAAGUCACCACCUCCCCCAACCCCGACAUACGUGUAUAAGUCUCCACCACCACCUGCUUACCAUUACAAAUCUCCACCUCCACCAUCACCAAAACUUGCACCGGUAUACUAUUAUAAAUCACCACCACCACCAUCACCAAAACCUGCACCCGUGUACUAUUAUAAAUCACCACCACCACCAUCACCAAAACCCGCACCUGUGUACUAUUAUAAGUCACCACCACCACCAUCACCAAAACCUGCACCAGUGUACUAUUAUAAAUCACCACCACCACCAUCACCAAAACCUGCACCUGUGUACUAUUAUAAGUCACCACCACCACCAUCACCAAAACCUGCACCCGUGUACUAUUAUAAAUCACCACCACCACCAUCACCAAAACCCGCACCAGUAUACUAUUAUAAAUCACCACCACCACCAUCACCAUCUCCUCCUCCACCAUACUAUUACAAGUCUCCACCACCACCAUCGCCAUCACCCCCACCACCUUACUAUUACAAGUCUCCUCCACCUCCAUCGCCGUCUCCUCCACCUCCAUACUACUACAAGUCUCCCCCACCACCAUCGCCAUCUCCUCCACCACCCUACUAUUACAAGUCACCUCCUCCACCAUCACCUUCACCACCUCCACCCUACUACUACAAGUCACCUCCUCCACCGUCACCUUCUCCACCACCUCCUUACUACUACAAGUCACCACCACCACCAUCCCCAUCUCCUCCACCACCCUACUACUACAAGUCACCUCCUCCACCGUCACCUUCUCCACCACCUCCCUACUACUACAAGUCACCACCACCACCAUCUCCAUCUCCUCCACCACCCUACUACUACAAGUCUCCUCCUCCACCGUCACCUUCACCACCCCCACCUUACAUCUACAAGUCUCCUCCUCCACCAUCACCUUCACCACCCCCACCCUACAUCUACAAGUCUCCUCCUCCACCAUCACCUUCUCCACCACCUCCCUACUACUAUCACUCUCCACCUCCACCCGUAAAGUCUCCUCCUCCUCCUUAUUACUACAGCUCGCCUCCUCCACCGGUAAAAUCGCCUCCUCCCCCGGCGUACAUUUACGCUUCACCACCACCACCAGUCCACUACUAAAAGUUUCUAAGAGUGCAGUCAUUCUCCACAAUCAAUCAAGUGAGUAGUUGUUUAAUUUGUAAUUUUUCAUACGAUACUCAACCUUUUUUGGUUCUUCUUUUUGAAUUAAGUCUCUAAUCUUCUAUGUGUUCUUCUUUUCAGAUUUUAGUUUGAAACACAAAAUAAAUGAUGGCUUCUUGAGGAAUAGAUUCAAACGUCAAUGGUUCAAAGCAAUUAAUUUAUGGAAUAACAUUUUCAAUCUUUUAAUUGAAGGGUUGAUUCUUCAUGACAUGGACAUAUUUGAUUCUACUUCUCUUUUGUCCUUCUUGCACAUUGUUCUCUUAGUGCGUUCACAUGAACGUAUCUAGGCUUUGAUGCUUCUUAGAGUUUGUUUCUUUGUAACUUAUUAUUUGUAUUGAGGAUAUUGUCCUCUUUUAUUCAUUCUUAUUAAUUAUUACUGAAUGUUGUUCUCGUAACACCUUUAUGUACUUUGUGCAUAAAUCAAUAAGAAGAUCAAUUUUAUUACAUUCACUAUCUUCUUCUAUUCCUCUUUCUUUUACCUCUGUAAACAUGUUAGAAACAAAUUAAAUUAGUCUUCUCCAAAUAUGUAUCAACAAUUUGGAAAUGAAUAAAUUAAUGAACUUAAGUCAAGCCAUUUUGCACGUACCUUGACUAAUUACACGAGAUACUUGUUACCUCCCACCAAUACUUAUAUCGGAUAACUCUAUCAACGAAAGCUUGGACAAAAGCCAAAAAUCACCAAUCUUUCCACCUACAUUGAAAUUGCACUCUGAGACCUCGUGGUUCUCAUUCCAACACUUACGAUUAUGCAAAUGCGUAAUACAAAAAGGAUUUAUAUUCUAUGACGAUCACAAAUUUACUUUCUUAAUGUAGUUAAUCGAUGUAGCAAGUUUACUCAAUCUAUAAUUUGAAGCCAUCAACAAUCAACAUACAUAUAAUUUUAUCCAUCAACAAUCAACAUACAUAAAAAGGGCUAUUUGUGCUUUUAAGUUAUCAACGUUGUUGCACCGGCCAACUAGUGUUCCAAAAAGAAAAUAAUUCAUCUAUUUGCUAAUAAGUUGAACAAUUUAACCAUACAUGUGAUCAGUGGCGGAACCAAGGAUCCUAAUAGGGGGAUUCGGAGUACAAAAGUAUCACACUUAGGUCUGGAAUAUAUAUAACUGAGCAUGUCGCAUAGGGUAAAUAAUUGGUACGAGUUUCAGACAAUCCCAUAUAUAUAGUAACGCACCUUAGCAUUUACCAGUAAUAAACUCCAACAACAUUAGUCUUGUUUUUUACCAGCUAGCGCGAGUCCACGACACAGAAUAUAUGUAUAUAUCCUUACUCACUACAGAUCAACAGGAAUUUAGAUCAAUUAAUUUGGCUAAACAUGUCAAAGUUGUUGUAAUUAUUGAACACUACAAAAUUCAAUAUCACAGAAUCUGAGCACUAGUGAUAUGCUUAUCAGCCCACACCCUGGCUAUUGAAAACAUAAAAGCAAGAGAGUGGAAAUAUUAAAAAAUAGCACUUUCUUUCCCUUAAGCCAGUUCAUGGCAUGUGUUUUCUCAUAGCAGGUAACAAACUACUUGUUAAAAGAUAAUGGGGAAACAUUUAAAGUGAUAUAGAGAUGGAGUUAAAUAAUUAAAAUGAAAACCUGUAGAUCCAGAUGUUAAUGUAUUUUUUAUACUUUGAUUAUCAAUCAGAGCAAUUGAAUUGGUCCUUUAGACAGCUCUUUACUUUUCAAUGUGUGUAACUAUAAAUACAUAGGCCAAUGAAUCCCCAAAAGGCAUCACUUCUCAACUGAAAAACUAAAGGUUAUCUCCUUUCUUCUUCCUCUAACUAGCUUGGGAGGCUAGGUGGUGUAUUUUUUCGGCGAAAUGAGACUUAACAAUGGCGUCCCUGCCAAGGGUCGUCAAUAUUUGCCACAAAUCUUAGUGGCAUUGGCCAUAUUGGCUGUUGCUAAUGUAGUGUCGGCAGAGCCUUAUGUAUACUCUUCUCCACCACCCCCGGUGUAUGAGUACAAAUCACCACCACCUCCUUCUCCGUCUCCACCACCACCAUAUGUGUACAAAUCUCCACCUCCUCCCUCACCUUCUCCACCGCCUCCAUAUGUUUAUAAGUCACCUCCUCCUCCUUCUCCGUCUCCACCACCACCACCACCAUAUGUGUACAAAUCUCCACCUCCUCCCUCGCCUUCUCCACCGCCUCCAUAUGUUUAUAAGUCACCUCCUCCUCCUUCUCCAUCUCCACCUCCACCAUAUGUGUAUAAGUCUCCACCACCUCCCUCACCGUCUCCACCACCACCAUAUGUGUAUAAGUCCCCACCACCUCCUUCACCGUCUCCACCACCACCCUAUGUGUACAAGUCUCCACCUCCACCUUCUCCUUCACCUCCUCCACCAUAUUAUUAUAAAUCUCCACCACCUCCUUCACCUUCUCCUCCACCACCUUAUUACUACAAGUCGCCACCUCCUCCAUCUCCAUCACCACCACCACCAUACUAUUACAAGUCUCCUCCUCCACCUUCUCCAUCACCACCCCCACCAUACUAUUACAAGUCCCCACCACCACCGGCUAAAUCACCUCCUCCCCCAUACUAUUACAAUUCUCCUCCACCACCAGUGAAGUCUCCCCCUCCACCAUACUACUACUCCUCGCCGCCACCACCAAAGAAAUCACCUCCUCCACCAUACUAUUACAGUUCUCCUCCACCACCGGUUAAGUCACCACCUCCUCCAUACUACUACUCCUCGCCACCACCACCAAAGAAAUCACCUCCUCCACCAUAUCACUACAAUUCCCCACCACCACAAGUUAAGUCACCUCCAACUCCAUACUAUUACAAGUCUCCACAACCACCAAAGAAGUCUUCUCCCCCACCAUACUACUAUACUUCACCACCACCACCAGUUUAUUAC
RNAcentral lists this long non-coding RNA (4976 nucleotides) under Solanum melongena (eggplant). RNAcentral describes it as "long non-coding RNA (SMEL_LNC000242)". Lineage: Eukaryota; Viridiplantae; Streptophyta; Magnoliopsida; Solanales; Solanaceae. The record is from RNAcentral.